RNAcentral lists this ribosomal RNA (253 nucleotides) under uncultured bacterium. Its description in RNAcentral is "partial 16S ribosomal RNA". It matches the Rfam family "Bacterial small subunit ribosomal RNA", at positions 524 to 776 of the family's 1533-position model. The record is from RNAcentral.
UACGAACCGUGCGAACGUUGUUCGGAAUCACUGGGCUUAAAGGGCGCGUAGGCGGGCCGGCUAGUCCGGGGUGAAAGCCCCCAGCUCAACUGGGGAAGCGCCUUGGAUACUGCCGGCCUCGAGGGGGGUAGGGGCGCGCGGAACUUCCGGUGGAGCGGUGAAAUGCGUAGAUAUCGGAAGGAACACCGGUGGCGAAAGCGGCGCGCUGGGCCCCUUCUGACGCUGAGGCGCGAAAGCCAGGGGAGCAAACGGG